Molecule: small nucleolar RNA, 135 nt
Filed under: Leptobrachium leishanense (Leishan spiny toad)
Lineage: Eukaryota; Metazoa; Chordata; Amphibia; Anura; Megophryidae
Description: U8 small nucleolar RNA (ENSLLEG00000006150.1)
Rfam family: U8 small nucleolar RNA
About the family: U8 is a member of the C/D class of snoRNA which contain the C (UGAUGA) and D (CUGA) box motifs. U8 is the RNA component of a small complex (the U8 snoRNP) which is required for accumulation of mature large subunit ribosomal RNAs, 5.8S and 28S rRNAs. U8 RNA has been identified in human, mouse, rat and Xenopus.
Source: Rfam by way of RNAcentral
UCAUCAGUGAGGUUAAUCCUUGCCUGUUCCUCCUCAGGGAGAAACAGCACGUGAUGAAUGGGAGGAGGCUGAUUGUGUGAUUACAGCAGUUCCUUUCCCCUGGGGAAACGACGCACCUCAGGGGGCCCUUCUGAU